AGCAGCCGCGGUAAUUCCAGCUCCAAUAGCGUAUAUUAAAGUUGUUGCAGUUAAAAAGCUCGUAGUUGAAUUUCGGGAUUAAUUUAUUGGUCGUGCUAUUGUACGUACUGGUAUUAUUGAUUCCUACCUUCUGACGAACCACGAUGUCAUUAAUUUGGUGUCAUGGGGAAUCAGGACUGUUACUUUGAAAAAAUUAGAGUGUUUAAAGCAGGCUCACGCUUGAAUACAUUAGCAUGGAAUAACGAAAUAGGACGUUUGAUUCUAUUUUGUUGGUUUCUAGGAUCGACGUAAUGAUUAAUAGGGAUAGUUGGGGGCAUUAGUAUUCAAUUGUCAGAGGUGAAAUUCUUGGAUUUAUUGAAGACUAACUACUGCGAAAGCAUUUGCCAAGGAUGUUUUCAUUAAUCAAGAACGAAAGUUAGGGGAUCGAAGACGAUCAGAUACCGUCGUAGUCUUAACCAUAAACUAUGCCGACUAGGGAUCGGAUGAUGUUAAUUUUUUAAUGACUCAUUCGGCGCCUUACG
Molecule: non-coding RNA, 521 nt
Filed under: uncultured Glomus
Lineage: Eukaryota; Fungi; Glomeromycota; Glomeromycetes; Glomerales; Glomeraceae
Also listed under: 1 other name
Description: SSU rRNA
Rfam family: Eukaryotic small subunit ribosomal RNA
Source: RNAcentral